Non-coding RNA from Macaca mulatta (Rhesus monkey), 1425 nucleotides. NCBI's taxonomy places the organism in Eukaryota, Metazoa, Chordata, Mammalia, Primates, Cercopithecidae. The record is from RefSeq and is a predicted model, not a curated record.
GGCUCCGGAGAGCUGUGUAGCGGCUCAGGAGCCGCGCAGUUGCUGGCAUUCCUGUCACGCAACUUCGGCCCGGCUGCUCUUUCUUCCAGCUUGGGGCCGUCAUUAUGUUUUCCUUCCUUAAAACAUCCCUAUGCACACUUUGUCGUCAUGUUUUUCUCUGCUGAACCAAACUUUAAUUGUUGAUCAGCAAAUGCUUCUAGAAAACCCAAGCAAAACCGCAGCGGCCAGCGAGCGAGGCACCCCCGCCUGCCAGCGGAUCCUGCAGCCUGGCCCAGAGCCGACUGCCGCGGGACCGGCGCCUUCCCUCUGCCGGAGCGGACAAACACGCCCGAGGGCGGGGGCUCAGGCAGCCCGCGGGGCGCCUCCCUCCCGCGGCUGCAGAACAAAGACGCAUCCGCCCUCCGCAGCCGGCCCCAUUCUAGGAAACGUCUACACAGAUGGCUUAUCAGGGCCCGCGCUGGGAAUACCCGGGGCGGGGUGACCUGGGUCUAGGGCAAGGCCCGGAUCUGCCUUAAAGGGAAACACUUUUUUUUUUUUUUUUUUUUCCUAGAAAUGCUCACCAAGGGCUGCAGGAGGGCCGGGAUCUGCGGGCUCACGACCCGGUGCAGCCUGGGUGCUCUGUUUUCCUCUUGUGCACGUGUUGAGUUUGUGUUUAAAAACAGGGAGAAACCGAGCCCAUUGACAUAGCACCAUCACCACCUGCAAAGACCAGAAACGACUGUGGUGAAGUGCAGGACCCCACAAGGACACCAAACACCAAACACCUCUUUUUGCUGCUUUUCAAGACGAUGCGCCAAUUAAGUGCCCAUGAAAACUGCUUUUCCUGCUUCCUUUAAGGUUCUGCUGGGAGGGUAGCCUCUGAGUGCCCUGUAUCCCUCCUGGGAUCCUUAGGCAUCCUGGCUCUAGGCAAACACAAAGAUACUGUACCCAGCACGGGAAGCGGUAGAUGGACCUCCAACUGGACACAGACUCUGGGGAUGAGGGAGGGCCAACCCGACUAUGCUUCCCUCAGAAGGGCAGCCAGUAAUACUGGCCGGAGACAGGGGUGCAGAAUGCCAACUAUACCAACUGGCGGGCAUCCUGUUCAGGACAAAAGUCCAGAGGCAGGCCUAAGUCAAGGCUUGUGUUGUAUCGACGAUAGUAUUUUGACGUGAUCUGACAAAAUUGGAAAGGAAAUAUUUCAUGCGACAUUCAUGAGUUCCCCAAAUUUGAAGGCAACAAAACUGUUCUGUUGAACUUGGGGGGAAAAUCGUUCAGAUUUCAACCACGGAAUUCAUUGCUACAACAGUAAAUAUGUUUGCCUUUGUUUUUCUUCUGGUAAAAUACAGGUAUACCAAAAUCACGGAACACUACUUCAUGUGCCUAUGUAAUGAAAUCCUCCGAAACCGCUAAAUCUAGGUUAUACCUCAACACAGCUGGAGAAAA